UCAAGUGGAAGUUAUUUGGAGAAGGACUAUGUUGCGAAGGAAAAAGCUUGGACCAAGUCCUCUUAGUAGAAUGGUAAUGGCUACCAUAGAAGAAUUUUAAUUUAAUUGAGAAUAAUUUGCUUCUGUCAAAACAGCAAAUCCUGAAAUUUCCCCUUUGAUUUUCAUUUUUAUCUUUCCAUUUUUUUCAAUGGGAUAGGUGGUUUGUACUUUUCAAAGGCAAUUGAUCUCUGCCAUUUGUAUUAGAUGCUUGGGUGGCGAUGGAAAACUUACGGCAAGAAAUCAAAGAAAAUAGCAUUCUAAUAUAUAUGCUUAAUCAUCAAAUUAAGCAGAUGAUUAAUUAAUUUUAGGUUGACGAUCCCUUUAGCAAAUCUGAAAAUGCAUGCAGCCCUUUACAUGCAUGCCUGU
This 405-nucleotide long non-coding RNA is filed under the name Populus trichocarpa (black cottonwood). Its description in RNAcentral is "long non-coding RNA (PTRI_LNC004241)". The record is from RNAcentral. Lineage: Eukaryota; Viridiplantae; Streptophyta; Magnoliopsida; Malpighiales; Salicaceae.